This 189-nucleotide non-coding RNA is filed under the name Candidatus Fimicola merdigallinarum. Its description in RNAcentral is "6S RNA". It matches the Rfam family "6S / SsrS RNA". Rfam says of the family: E. coli 6S RNA was the first non coding RNA to be sequenced, but its function was unknown until recently. The record is from RNAcentral. Lineage: Bacteria; Bacillati; Bacillota; Clostridia; Lachnospirales; Lachnospiraceae.
AAGUUACUGAGAUGUGCGAUAUCCUGUUGUUUUUGAACCUACAUUACUUUAACGGGAAUCCCAUAAACGAAGAAUAUGUCAGGCCUCUUACUAAUUCCCUUUGGGCUGAGGAAGGCAGAGUUUUAGUUGCGGAUACCCACCUGGCUACGGCUAGGUGUCAAAAGGCAGGACUCGGCAUCUUGGUUCUAU